This 433-nucleotide ribosomal RNA is filed under the name uncultured bacterium. Its description in RNAcentral is "partial 16S ribosomal RNA". It matches the Rfam family "Bacterial small subunit ribosomal RNA", at positions 29 to 507 of the family's 1533-position model. The record is from RNAcentral.
AACGAACGCUGGCGGCAUGCCUAACACAUGCAAGUCGAACGAGACCUUCGGGUCUAGUGGCGCACGGGUGCGUAACGCGUGGGAACCUGCCCUUAGGUUCGGAAUCACUCCCCGAAAGGGGUGCUAAUACCGGCUAAUGUCUUCGGACCAAAGAUUUAUCGCCGUUGGAUGGGCCCGCGUUGGAUUAGCUAGUUGGUAGGGUAAAAGCCUACCAAGGCGACGAUCCAUAGCUGGUCUGAGAGGAUGAUCAGCCACACUGGGACUGAGACACGGCCCAGACUCCUACGGGAGGCAGCAGUGGGGAAUAUUGGACAAUGGGCGAAAGCCUGAUCCAGCAAUGCCGCGUGAGUGAUGAAGGCCUUAGGGUUGUAAAGCUCUUUUACCCGGGAUGAUAAUGACAGUACCGGGAGAAUAAGCUCCGGCUAACUCCGUG